Molecule: ribosomal RNA, 503 nt
Filed under: uncultured Glomus
Lineage: Eukaryota; Fungi; Glomeromycota; Glomeromycetes; Glomerales; Glomeraceae
Description: SSU rRNA
Rfam family: Eukaryotic small subunit ribosomal RNA
Source: RNAcentral
AGCAGCCGCGGUAAUUCCAGCUCCAAUAGCGUAUAUUAAAGUUGUUGCAGUUAAAAAGCUCGUAGUUGAAUUUCGGGAUCAAUUAAUUGGUCGUGCCUAUGGUACGUACUGAUUUUAUUGGUUUCUCCCUUCUGACGAACCAUGAUGUCAUUAAUUUGGUGUCGUGGAGAAUCAGGACUGUUACUUUGAAAAAUUGAGUGUUUAAAGCAGGCUAACGCUUGAAUACAUUAGCAUGGAAUAAUGAAAUAGGACGUUUGAUCCUAUUUUGUUGGUUUCUAGGAUCGACGUAAUGAUUAAUAGGGAUAGUUGGGGGCAUUAGUAUUCAAUUGUCAGAGGUGAAAUUCUUGGAUUUAUUGAAGACUAACUACUGCGAAAGCAUUUGCCAAGGAUGUUUUCAUUAAUCAAGAACGAAAGUUAGGGGAUCGAAGACGAUCAGAUACCGUCGUAGUCUUAACCAUAAACUAUGCCGACUAGGGAUCGGAUGAUGUUAAUUUUUAAUGUAC